GCUCUCGUGGCCCAGUUAGUUAGUGCGUCGUACUUAUAAUGCGAAGGUCAAGGGUUCAAUCCCCUCCGGGAGCA
RNAcentral lists this transfer RNA (74 nucleotides) under Dendronephthya gigantea. RNAcentral's name for it is "tRNA-Ile". It matches the Rfam family "tRNA". Rfam says of the family: Transfer RNA (tRNA) molecules are approximately 80 nucleotides in length. Their secondary structure includes four short double-helical elements and three loops (D, anti-codon, and T loops). Lineage: Eukaryota; Metazoa; Cnidaria; Anthozoa; Malacalcyonacea; Nephtheidae. The record is from RNAcentral.